This 70-nucleotide transfer RNA is filed under the name Bos taurus (domestic cattle). It matches the Rfam family "tRNA". From Rfam's summary of the family: Transfer RNA (tRNA) molecules are approximately 80 nucleotides in length. Their secondary structure includes four short double-helical elements and three loops (D, anti-codon, and T loops). Lineage: Eukaryota; Metazoa; Chordata; Mammalia; Artiodactyla; Bovidae. RNAcentral also lists the same sequence under 4 other names. The record is from Rfam by way of RNAcentral.
UCCCUGGUGGUCUAGUGGUUUGGACUCGGCACUUUCAUUGCCAUGGCCCAGGUUCGAUCCCUGGUGGGAG